RNAcentral lists this ribosomal RNA (490 nucleotides) under uncultured bacterium. RNAcentral describes it as "partial 16S ribosomal RNA". It matches the Rfam family "Bacterial small subunit ribosomal RNA", at positions 29 to 507 of the family's 1533-position model. The record is from RNAcentral.
AGUGAACGCUGGCGGCAGGCCUAACACAUGCAAGUCGAACGGCAGCACAAGAGAGCUUGCUCUCUGGGUGGCGAGUGGCGGACGGGUGAGGAAUGCAUCGGAAUCUGCCCAUUUGUGGGGGAUAACCUCGGGAAACCGGGACUAAUACCGCAUACGACCUACGGGUGAAAGCAGGGCAUCUUCGGACCUUGCGCAGAUGGAUGAGCCGAUGCCGGAUUAGCUAGUUGGAGGGGUAAAGGCCCACCAAGGCGACGAUCCGUAGCUGGUCUGAGAGGAUGAUCAGCCACACUGGGACUGAGACACGGCCCAGACUCCUACGGGAGGCAGCAGUGGGGAAUAUUGGACAAUGGGCGCAAGCCUGAUCCAGCCAUGCCGCGUGUGUGAAGAAGGCCUUCGGGUUGUAAAGCACUUUUGUUGGGAAAGAAAAGCAGCCGGUUAAUACCCGGUUGUCAUGACGGUACCCAAAGAAUAAGCACCGGCUAACUUCGUG